This is an RNA transcript of Juglans regia (Persian walnut), 1793 nucleotides long. It is a transcript of the gene named serine/arginine-rich splicing factor SC35-like, with no coding region annotated. NCBI's taxonomy places the organism in Eukaryota, Viridiplantae, Streptophyta, Magnoliopsida, Fagales, Juglandaceae. The transcript has 10 exons. The record is from RefSeq and is a predicted model, not a curated record.
GAUAAAUGCAGACGGAGAGUAGAGUCCGAAACAAUCGUGAUUUUUCGAGCAAGUUCUAUCCUCAGUCCUCGCCCUCACCACAAACCCUAACCCUUUUUCAUUCUAAGUCCCCCCUCCCCCCCGCGCGUCUCUCUCUCAGCCCCUCGAGCCAAAAAUGUCGCACUUCGGAAGAACAGGCCCUCCGGACAUUACCGACACAUACUCUCUUCUUGUCCUCAACAUUUCCUUCCGUACGACUGCGGAUGAUCUAUUCCCGUAUUUUGAUAAAUACGGCAAGGUCGUGGAUAUCUUUAUCCCUAGAAAUCGAAGGACUGGUGACUCAAGGGGCUUUGCAUUUGUGCGGUACAAGUAUGCUGAUGAGGCACAAAAAGCAGUGGAUAGGCUUGAUGGAAAAGUUGUUGAUGGUCGAGAGAUAACAGUUCAAUUUGCUAAAUAUGGGCCAAACGCAGAGAAAAUCGACAAAGGGAGGAUUAUCGAAUCGUCCUCGAGGUCAAGAAGUCGCAGUCCUCGUAGGAGAUACCGGGAUGACUACAGAGAUCGGGGUUCCAAGAGAAGAAGCCGCAGUCGAAGUUUUGAUAGAUACGAUCGUGAUAGGCAUGGGAGGGAUAGGGAUUAUCGCCACCGCAGCAGGAGCCGUAGCAAUAGUCCCGAUUACCAUAGGGCCCGAGGAAGAGGUCAUUAUGAUGAUGAGCUUCGAAGCCGAAGCCGAAGCCGAAGCCGAUCGAUGGAUAAUGCCUCCCCUGAUCAGCGUAGCAGGCAUAUCCCUAGUUCUCGCAGAAGUCCUUCCCCACAGAAGUCUUUGUCUCCUAGGGUGGAAAGUUCUGAUAGGCGAAGCCAUCAUGGACGGUCCCCAACUUCUCAUAGUAUUUCACCCAGGGGCCAUCCUGCUGAUUCUCGAAGCCAAUCCCCAUGAAAGUCAGAUGUUGAUAUGAGUCAUUGUCUUUGAAUGAUCAUCCCGGUUGUUCUGAAAAUUCAUGGAGAUAUCGUUCUGCUGUUCUUAUCUGAAUCCUAAGGGCUGGUUUUGUUAUGUUCGGGGAACAAUGGUGGGGGCUUGAUAGACAGAUGUUGAGUUUUAGCUGUUGAUGCUGUUCCUAAAAUGUAGAUGGAUGGUCGUGAUAUUGAUUGCUGGUUGCAGCAGUAUGCUGGUUUUAGAAGUAUGAUUGUUUUAGCAGUAUGCUGGUUGCCGAGAGCUAUAUAUGUUAACUAGUUCCCUCUGGAAAUCAUCUUUGAGGUUCUAGUUGCUGUGAUGCUCUAAAGACAAACGUUGAACGUGUACUUAACCUCUAGCUGAUGCUGCACAAUGAGAUGGACCAAUGAUUCAUUUCCGUGAUCUGGCUACGGAACAUGAACUACAAAUUCUAUAUGUGGGUUCUUUAGUUCUGGUGUUAAAUUUUGCUGCCAGAAAAAAUGAGACACGGUAACGAGUUAUGUGAUUUUGUUUAGGGUUAUUGGUCUUUACAAUGCUUAACCCAUCCUUUAAGAUUAUAAUUUAUGCUUUUUAAUGUGGUGACUGGUGAGAUGUUUUAGCACACGGGGUCCAUGACCGUAGCUGUGAAGUGGUUGCUGAUGCCUGUUGAUCUAUGAUUGGCUCGUGAUUAACUCUGAAAUAUUAGUGACUAAACAAUGCCACCUGGCCGUUGCUGCCCUCUUGCUUGGUUCGGGUUGGCAAUGUUACUGGCCACUGUGGCAUUGAUUGUAGCUACCUAGCUGUGUUGCUGGCCUGCGAAAUAUUUAUAAAUCUGAUCUAACAGAGGCAUGGCAUUUUGCUUUGUGCUCUUGGAUUUAUGGUCUCA